RNAcentral lists this ribosomal RNA (1782 nucleotides) under Colletotrichum lindemuthianum. RNAcentral describes it as "SSU rRNA". It matches the Rfam family "Eukaryotic small subunit ribosomal RNA", at positions 1 to 1479 of the family's 1831-position model. The record is from RNAcentral. Lineage: Eukaryota; Fungi; Ascomycota; Sordariomycetes; Glomerellales; Glomerellaceae.
UCUAGUUAAUUUUGCUAGUAGUUAUAUACUUAUCUUAAAGAUUAAGUUAUAUAUAUCUAAGUAUAAGUAAUUAUAUAGUGAAACUGUGAAUAGCUUAUUAUAUAAAUUAUUGUUUAUUUAAUAGUAUCUUACUAUUUAGAUAAUUGUGGUAAUUCUAGAGCUAAUAUAUACUAAAAAUUCUAAUUUUGGAAGGGAUAUAUUUAUUAGAUUAAAAACUAAUACCUUUCGGAACUUACUAGUGAUUUAUAAUAACUUCUUAAAUUAUAUAGUUUUAUGCUGGCGAUAGUUUAUUUAAAUUUCUUCCCUAUUAACUUUCGAUACUAGAGUAGUAUUUUAGUAUAAUUAUAAUAGGUAAUAGAGGGUUAGAGCUUAAUUUUAAAGAAGGAGCUUGAGAAAUAGUUACUAUAUCUAAGGAAGAUAGUAGGUAUGUAAAUUACUUAAUCCUAACACAGAGAGGUAGUGAUAAUAAAUACUAAUAUAGGAUUCUUUUAGGUUUUGUAAUUAGAAUAAGUAUAAUUUAAAUUUCUUAAUGAGGAAUAAUUAGAAGGUAAGUCUGGUGCUAGUAGUUAUGGUAAUUCCAGCUCUAAUAGUGUAUAUUAAAGUUAUUAUGGUUAAAAAGCUUGUAGUAGAACCUUAAGUCUGGCUGGCUGGUCUGCCUUACUGUGUGUAUUAGUCUAACUGGGUUUUUCCCUCUGUGGAACUGUAUACUCUUUACUAGGUAUACUGGGGAAAUAGAACUUUUAUUUUAAAAAAAUUAGAAUGCUCCAGGCAGAUCUAUAUUUAAAUAUAUUAGUAUAGAAUAAUAGAAUAGGAUAUGUAAUUCUAUUUUGUUAGUUUUUAGGAUUACUAUAAUAAUUAAUAGGGAUAGUUAGGGGUAUUAGUAUUUAAUUAUUAGAGGUGAAAUUCUUAGAUUUAUUAAAAACUAACUACUGCGAAAGUAUUUACUAAAGAUAUUUUUAUUUAUUAGGAAUGAAAGUUAGGAGAUUAAAAACAAUUAGAUACUGUUGUAAUCUUAACUAUAAACUAUAUUAACUAGGGAUCAGACGAUAUUAUUUUUUAACUUAUUUAGCAUCUUACGAGAAAUUAAAGUGUUUAGGCUCUAGGGGGAGUAUAGUUGUAAGGUUGAAACUUAAAGAAAUUGACGGAAAGGUACUACUAAAGGUAAAUAGUAGCUGUUUAAGCUUUGCUUCAGACAGUAAGCCUAUAAAGGGUCCAGUGGCUAGCUCUGAAUUGCUAGUUACCCCAGUAGUGGCGAUAUCUCCUAAUUGCGGGAAACCCUCAGAGAGUAGCAUUCCCAAGUAGCGCUCGAAAGAGACGCUAUAGUAGUAACGUAACGGCUGCUAGUAUGGAGAUAACAUACUACUUAUGAGGUAACUUACAGCUAAGCUUCUAACUAUAAAGAAGGUUUAGAGACUCGAUAGGGAUAGGUAGCGCCCCCAGGCGCCGCCUAAGAUAGAGUUUAUACUUAUUUGAGAGAGUGGAGACUAACUAGUAUAUUACCUGAAAAGGGAGCCUGCAGCUUAAUUUAACUUAAUAUAGGGAAACUCACUAGAUCCAGAUAUAAUAAGGAUUAACAGAUUAAGAGCUUUUUCUUAAUUUUAUAGAUAAUAGUGUAUAGCUAUUUUUAGUUAGUAGAGUAAUUUAUCUACUUAAUUGCGAUAAUGAAUGAGAUCUUAACCUGCUAAAUAGCCUAUAUUACUUUAGCAGUAUACUAACUUCUUAGAGGGAUUAUCAGUUUAAACUGAUAGAAGUUUAAGGUAAUAACAGGUUAACUUUCACAAG